This 985-nucleotide long non-coding RNA is filed under the name Marmota monax (woodchuck). The record is from RNAcentral. Lineage: Eukaryota; Metazoa; Chordata; Mammalia; Rodentia; Sciuridae.
CACAUGUGAGUCUGGGUUGGCAUCUCACCUCGUCCCUCUGCCCUCCAGCCUCUAUAUUUGUGAUGCGGGCCAUCCUGUGGUGCCCAGGGCAUCACUGGCACUCCCAUUGCACCCCAGGGCCUUUGCACGGCAUCCUGGGUCCCAUGACUCUCCUGUGCCCACUCUCUGAUCUCUGACUGUCCACCUCCCUCCCAGGGUACCUGUGCCACCCCCAUCCUGCUUCCCUCUCUGGUGUGAUGCGGGCUCCCUCGGGACCUUUCACUUUCCUCCUCAUGGCCGACUUUCCCGUGAGACCAGCCCUACCCAGGUGAGCUCGGUGCUCCAUCUCUGGCACCCGGGGCCUGUCCCAAGGGCGGCUCUACAAAUAUUUGUCCAAUCGAUUGGCUUGUUUGCUAACGGUGUGGCUUGCUGCUCACUGCUGGUAACGGAGCUCAAUCCUACGUCGCCAGAACCUUUAGCCACCCUGCCGCUGGGCACAGGAGCUGUGGGCUCCACACACAGGCCAAGGAGCCGGUCACUAUGCAGGACUGCUCAAGGGUCAGCGGCUUCUAGAAUGUCCAGGCACCCCAGCCCCUCGGCUCUGGGCCUCAUGAGCCUCCUCCUCCUCUUGGGAGGGGCGGGCUGUUUGCAUCUCCCCCUUCCCCUCUCCUGGCUGGAAUUCCUGGGGAGCUUGGGUGCCCCGAGCCAGGCUCUACCGAGGUUCUGGAGUCAUCAGUCCAGGUGUGACAUGGACCCCAGGAUCUCUCAAGUGUUCCCGGGGAAUUCCAAGGCACGGCAGGCUUGAGCCCCACAGGCCGCGGGAUCUGGCGAGGGGAACCGUGGUAACUGCCCUGGGUCAGACCUGUGUGCAGGAUGCUCUUAGCAGACGUCACACACCAAGCUCCCUCCAGGGCCAGGCAGGGGCUGGAGCUGCAGGGUGGCCGUGAGAGGCCACAGGGAGUGGUGCAGACUGGGGACAAGCCAAGGCCUGUCCUGGAGGAGUAGC